Non-coding RNA from Arachis ipaensis, 490 nucleotides. The record is from RefSeq and is a predicted model, not a curated record. NCBI's taxonomy places the organism in Eukaryota, Viridiplantae, Streptophyta, Magnoliopsida, Fabales, Fabaceae.
CAUUGUAAUUUCAGCAUUUGAUAUUAAAGUUGGCUCAUUGUGAUUUCAGCAUUUGGUCUAAAGUUUGGAGAUUGAUAAGUUUUAAAAUAUGGAAAAGAAAUGGAACUAGAAAUGUCAGUGAUUUCCAGCUGUAGCUCUUCCGUUGUGAUUUCGUCAAUGAAGGACAAGUGUUCUCUUUGCUGGAGAGUUAGGAAGAGAAUGUCCUUUUGGAACGUAAGUAUGGAAUCUAAGUCGAGCUUUUAUCUUUAUGAGGGCCUAAAAGUUUGAUUCAACUUUGUACAAAAGCAUGCAUGAAGCACCUUGCUAUGGUGAAGAAUCUUUAAGUCAAUUUUCCAGUUGGAAUGUUAUACCAGACUUUACAAGUUGGGAUAGAUACAAUUGUUUGGUCUAAGUAGAUAUUGAAUAGAGUAUAGUUAUGUUCAUGAAUUAUUUUUACCAUGUUUUAGUCUAGAUUGUGGAUCAUAAAUUUAAUGUAUUUAGAAAUUUUCAA